RNAcentral lists this ribosomal RNA (563 nucleotides) under uncultured bacterium. Its description in RNAcentral is "partial 16S ribosomal RNA". It matches the Rfam family "Bacterial small subunit ribosomal RNA", at positions 355 to 905 of the family's 1533-position model. The record is from RNAcentral.
UGGGGAAUUUUGGACAAUUGGGCGAAAGCCUGAUCCAGCAAUGCCGCGUGUGUGAAGAAGGCCUUCGGGUUGUAAAGCACUUUUGUCCGGAAAGAAAUCCUCUGGGUUAAUACCUCGGGGGAGUGACGGUACCGGAAGAAUAAGCACCGGCUAACUACGUGCCAGCAGCCGCGGUAAUACGUAGGGUGCAAGCGUUAAUCGGAAUUACUGGGCGUAAAGCGUGCGCAGGCGGUUUUGUAAGGCGGAUGUGAAAUCCCCGGGCUUAACCUGGGAACUGCAUUCGUGACUGCAAGGGCUAGAGUAUGGCAGAGGGGGGUAGAAUUCCACGUGUAGCAGUGAAAUGCGUAGAGAUGUGGAGGAAUACCGAUGGCGAAGGCAGCCCCCUGGGCCAAGUACUGACGCUCAUGCACGAAAGCGUGGGGAGCAAACGGAUUAAUACCCCUGGUAGUCCACGCCCUAAAANGAUGUCAACUAGUUGUUGGGGAUUCAUUUUCCUUAGUAACGUAGCUAACGCGUGAAGUUUGACCGCCUGGGGGAGUACGGUCGCAAGAUUAAAACUCAAA